GCCGAAUAUAUAGUAAGGCCUGCCCAGUGAUUUGGUUUAAACGGCUGCGGUAUUUUGACCGUCCUAAGGUAGCAUAAUCAUUUGCCUUUUAAUUGUGGGCUGGGAUGAAAGGUUUAACAAAGAACAGUGUCUUUUUUUUAAAUUUGUAAUUUUUAGUGAGAGUUAAAAUACUUUCAGGUGGCUAAGGGACGAUAAGACCCUAAAAGCUUUAUUUUAGGAAAAGAGUUAAGAUUAUUAAUAGUAAGAGUUUAGCUGGGGUAGUUUUUUUAAAGGAUCUGAGAGUAGAGUAGACACUAAAAGUGUAAUUAGGUCCUUUAUAUAAGGAUAUGUUGAAGAAGUUACUUUAGGGAUAACAGCGUAAUAACUUCAGGGAGAUCUUAUCUAUGAGGUAGAUUGCGACCUCGAUGUUGAAUUAAGAGUUCGUUGUAGAGCAUAAACUACAAGAAGAGGGUUUGGUCAACCUUUAA
This 467-nucleotide ribosomal RNA is filed under the name Eurythenes sp. 'TOP401-3'. RNAcentral's name for it is "partial 16S rRNA". It matches the Rfam family "Bacterial large subunit ribosomal RNA", at positions 1840 to 2591 of the family's 2925-position model. Lineage: Eukaryota; Metazoa; Arthropoda; Malacostraca; Amphipoda; Lysianassidae. The record is from RNAcentral.